This 645-nucleotide ribosomal RNA is filed under the name uncultured bacterium. RNAcentral's name for it is "bacterial SSU rRNA". It matches the Rfam family "Bacterial small subunit ribosomal RNA", at positions 97 to 726 of the family's 1533-position model. The record is from RNAcentral.
GGCGGACGGGUGAGUAACACGUGGGCAACCUGCCCUGCAGAUGGGGAUAACUCCGGGAAACCGGGGCUAAUACCGAAUAAUCAGUCCCUCCGCAUGGAGAGACUCUGAAAGACGGCAUCUCGCUGUCACUGCAGGAUGGGCCCGCGGCGCAUUAGCUAGUUGGUGGGGUAAUGGCCUACCAAGGCGACGAUGCGUAGCCGACCUGAGAGGGUGAUCGGCCACACUGGGACUGAGACACGGCCCAGACUCCUACGGGAGGCAGCAGUAGGGAAUCUUCCGCAAUGGACGAAAGUCUGACGGAGUAAUGCCGCGUGAGUGAUGAAUGUCUUCGGAUUGUAAAACUCUGUUGUUAGGGAAGAACACGUACCGUUCGAAUAGGGCGGUAUCUUGACGGUACCUAACCAGAAAGCCCCGGCUAACUACGUGCCAGCAGCCGCGGUAAUACGUAGGGGGCGAGCGUUGUCCGGAAUUAUUGGGCGUAAAGCGCACGCAGGCGGUCCUUUAAGUCUGAUGUGAAAGCCCACGGCUUAACCGUGGAGGGUCAUUGGAAACUGAGGGACUUGAGUGCAGAAGAGGAGAGUGGAAUUCCAUGUGGAGCGGUGAAAUGCGUAGAGAUAUGGAGGAACACCAGUGGCGAAGGCGACU